CCCGCUGAACUUAAGCAUAUCAAUAAGCGGAGGAAAAGAAACCAACAGGGAUUGCCUCAGUAACGGCGAGUGAAGCGGCAACAGCUCAAAUUUGAAAUCUGGCUCUUUCAGGGCCCGAGUUGUAAUUUGUAGAGGAUGUUUCGGCGCGGGCUCCGGUCUAAGUUCCUUGGAACAGGACAUCAUAGAGGGUGAGAAUCCCGUAUGUGAUCGGUUGCCUUUGCUAUGUGAAACUCCUUCGACGAGUCGAGUUGUUUGGGAAUGCAGCUCUAAAUGGGAGGUAAAUUUCUUCUAAAGCUAAAUACUGGCCAGAGACCGAUAGCGCACAAGUAGAGUGAUCGAAAGAUGAAAAGCACUUUGGAAAGAGAGUCAAAAAGUACGUGAAAUUGUUGAAAGGGAAGCGCUUGCAACCAGACCUGCCUGCAGUUGCUCAUCCGGGCUUUUGCCCGGUGCACUCUUCUGCUGUCAGGCCAGCAUCAGUUCGGGCGGUUGGAUAAAGGUUUCGGGAAUGUAGCUCCUCUCGGGGAGUGUUAUAGCCCGUUGCGAAAUGCGGCCAGCCUGGACUGAGGUCCGCGCUUCGGCUAGGAUGCUGGCGUAAUGGUUGUAAGCGGCCCGUCUUGAAACACGG
This 625-nucleotide ribosomal RNA is filed under the name uncultured fungus. RNAcentral describes it as "eukaryotic LSU rRNA". It matches the Rfam family "Eukaryotic large subunit ribosomal RNA", at positions 24 to 664 of the family's 3401-position model. Lineage: Eukaryota; Fungi. The record is from RNAcentral.